CAAGGAUUCCCCUAGUAACUGCGAGUGAAGCGGGAAAAGCUCAAAUUUAAAAUCUGGCAGUCUCUGGCUGUCCGAGUUGUAAUCUAGAGAAGUGAUGCCCGCGCUGGACCGUGUACAAGUCUCCUGGAAUGGAGCGUCAUAGAGGGUGAGAAUCCCGUCUCUGACACGGACUACCAGGGCUUUGUGGUACGCUCUCAAAGAGUCGAGUUGUUUGGGAAUGCAGCUCAAAAUGGGUGGUAAAUUCCAUCUAAAGCUAAAUAUUGGCGAGAGACCGAUAGCGAACAAGUACCGUGAGGGAAAGAUGAAAAGAACUUUGGAAAGAGAGUUAAACAGUACGUGAAAUUGCUGAAAGGGAAACGCUUGAAGUCAGUCGCGUUGGCCGGGGAUCAGCCUCGCUUUUUGCGUGGUGUACUUCCCAGUUGACGGGUCAGCAUCAAUUUUGACUGCUGGAAAAAGGCAUGGGGAAUGUGGCAGCUUCGGCUGUGUUAUAGCCUCACGUUGCAUACAGCGGUUGGGAUUGAGGAACUCAGCACGCCGCAAGGCCGGGUUUCGACCACGUUCGUGCUUAGGAUGCUGGCAUAAUGGCUUUAAGCGACCCGUCUUGAAACACGGACCAAGGAGUCUAACAUGCCUGCGAGUGUUUGGGUGGUAAACCCGAGCGCGUAAUGAAAGUGAAAGUUGAGAUCCCUGUCAUGGGGAGCAUCGACGCCUGGACCAGAACUUUUGGGACGGAUCCACGGUAGAGCAUGUAUGUUGGGACCCGAAAGAUGGUGAACUAUGCCUGAAUAGGGUGAAGCCAGAGGAAACUCUGGUGGAGGCUCGUAGCGAUUCUGACGUGCAAAUCGAUCGUCAAAUUUGGGUAUAGGGGCGAAAGACUAAUCRAMCYWUYYAGUAGCUGGUUCUGCAGA
RNAcentral lists this ribosomal RNA (908 nucleotides) under Leucoagaricus brunneus. Its description in RNAcentral is "LSU rRNA". It matches the Rfam family "Eukaryotic large subunit ribosomal RNA", at positions 69 to 964 of the family's 3401-position model. Lineage: Eukaryota; Fungi; Basidiomycota; Agaricomycetes; Agaricales; Agaricaceae. The record is from RNAcentral.